Molecule: long non-coding RNA, 247 nt
Filed under: Bos taurus (domestic cattle)
Lineage: Eukaryota; Metazoa; Chordata; Mammalia; Artiodactyla; Bovidae
Description: long non-coding RNA NONBTAT026727
Source: RNAcentral
AGGUGCUUUGUCCUUUACAAAGAACUUUGGGGUUUAUGUGCUACUUUACAGUAUACAAAGCUCCUUGCCCUUGACAAAGGACUGUUGCAUAUAUGGUGUGUUUAGGCUUUAGAAAGUACUUUGCAAAGGGCACCACUGUUUACAAGAUGCUUACCAUUUAUAAAGUGCUACCAUUUACUGUGCACUCUGAAUUUUCAAGGUAUUUUACUUUACAAAUUGCUUUACUGUUUGCUAGGGACACUGCUGC